RNAcentral lists this long non-coding RNA (420 nucleotides) under Ananas comosus (pineapple). RNAcentral describes it as "long non-coding RNA (ACOM_LNC010047)". Lineage: Eukaryota; Viridiplantae; Streptophyta; Magnoliopsida; Poales; Bromeliaceae. The record is from RNAcentral.
AGAUUACGUUAUAAGGUAUUUAUUAUGGUACGAGUCAGACAAUAAUCUGUGUGAUAGCAAACUACUAUGGAAGGGUGCUGGACAUGACGUGGUGCAGGCUAAAUUUGAUUGUUGAGUCAGUCAUUAUGAUUGAGUAUUAUUGUAUUAUUUUAUCCAGUAUCUAAUUAAUGCAUGGGAUAUAUAAUUUAUAGUUUCAGUUAUAUUGUAAAAACAUGAUAGUAGUAGUUAUUUUCAGUAAUUAUUCAUAUAUUACCUGCUUAGUCAUACUGCUCAGUUAUUUAUCAUUUCUGCCUCCUAUGGACCUAAUAGUGUAGACCGUCGGCAUUGUCGACUGUACCCACUGGGGAUUUAUAGCCCUCAUACCCUUUUUAUUAUUAUUUUAUUUCAGAGUAUUCAGCACCAGCAAUUGAUCGAGAUAAG